GAGAGAUGGCUCCCACGUCCAAGGAUGGCAGCAGGCGCGAAAAUUGUCCACUCUUUUGAGAGGAGACAGUUAUGAAACGUGAGUAGAAGGGUCGAGUGUAAAAACCUUGACGUGAAGCAAUUGGAGGGCAAGUUUUGGUGCCAGCAGCCGCGGUAAUUCCAACUCCAAGAGUGUCUAUGGUGGAUGCUGCAGUUAAAGGGUCCGUAGUCGUAGAUGCAAUUAAAAGGUGGUGUUAAAAGCCAUUGAGUUUGUUGAGAGUAGCGGAACGGAUAGGGAGCAUGGUAUAGGUGGGCAAAGAAUGAAAUCUCAAGACCCCACCUGGACCAACGGAGGCGAAAGCGAUGCUCUUAGACGUAUCUGGGGAUCAAGGACGAAGGCUAGAGUAUCGAAAGUGAUUAGACACCGCUGUAGUUCUAGCAGUAAACUAUGCCGACAAUGCUGGGUGUUGCGAGAGCGAUGCUUGGUGUGGGAGAAAUCUUAGUUUUCGGGCUCUGGGGAUAGUACGCUCGCAAGGGUGAAACUUAAAGCGAAAUUGACGGAAGGACACUACCAGGAGUGGAUUGUGCUGCUUAAUUUAACUCAACGCGGGAAAACUUACCAGGGUCAAGUCUAUCGUAGAUUGGAGACAUGAGGUAGACAAGAGUGGUGCAUGGCCGUUGGAAAUUGAUGGGGCGACUUUUAGCUUAAGUGCUGGAACCAGUGAGAUCUUCUAGACAGGUGUUAUUUAGGCACAGGAGGGAGAAGGCAAUAACAGGUCCGUGAUGCCCUUAGAUAUCCUGGGCAGCAAGCGCAAUACAAUAUCUCUUGAGAAGACAAAGCAAUUUGAGAUGAGUAGGAUUAGCUUUUGUAAAUAAGCUAUGAAUGAGGAAUUCCUAGUAACAGUGUCUCAUCAAGGCAUUGUGAAUGUGUCCCUGUUC
RNAcentral lists this ribosomal RNA (917 nucleotides) under Ecytonucleospora hepatopenaei. RNAcentral's name for it is "bacterial SSU rRNA". It matches the Rfam family "Microsporidia small subunit ribosomal RNA", at positions 257 to 1181 of the family's 1311-position model. Lineage: Eukaryota; Fungi; Microsporidia; Enterocytozoonidae. The record is from RNAcentral.